AGGGAUGUAGUUAAUUAUAACAUUUGAUUUGCACUCAAAAAAUAUUGAAUUUCAAUCUUCCUUA
Molecule: transfer RNA, 64 nt
Filed under: Pseudogriphoneura sp. ACMJ-2016
Lineage: Eukaryota; Metazoa; Arthropoda; Insecta; Diptera; Lauxaniidae
Description: tRNA-Ala
Rfam family: tRNA
About the family: Transfer RNA (tRNA) molecules are approximately 80 nucleotides in length. Their secondary structure includes four short double-helical elements and three loops (D, anti-codon, and T loops). Further hydrogen bonds mediate the characteristic L-shaped molecular structure. tRNAs have two regions of fundamental functional importance: the anti-codon, which is responsible for specific mRNA codon recognition, and the 3' end, to which the tRNAs corresponding amino acid is attached (by aminoacyl-tRNA synthetases). tRNAs cope with the degeneracy of the genetic code in two manners: having more than one tRNA (with a specific anti-codon) for a particular amino acid; and 'wobble' base-pairing, i.e. permitting non-standard base-pairing at the 3rd anti-codon position.
Source: RNAcentral